Molecule: ribosomal RNA, 1070 nt
Filed under: uncultured fungus
Lineage: Eukaryota; Fungi
Description: SSU rRNA
Rfam family: Eukaryotic small subunit ribosomal RNA
Source: RNAcentral
GCAAGAUGUAGUCAUAUGCUUGUCUCAAAGAUUAAGCCAUGCAUGUAAAGUAUGAGCAAUUAUACGGCGAAACUGCGAAUGGCUCAUUAUAUAAGUCAUCGUCUAUUUGAUAGUACCUUACUACUUGGGUAACCGUGGUAAUUCUAGAGCUAAUACAUGCUGAAAAUCCCGACUCCGGAAGGGAUGUAUUUAUUAGAUUCAAAACCAAUGCCCCCCCCGGGCUCACUGGUGAAUCAUGGUAACUGCUCGAAUCGCACGGCCUUUGCGCCGGCGAUGGCUCAUUCGAAUCUCUUCCCUAUCAACUUUCGAUGUUUGGGUAGUGGCCAAACAUGGUUGCAACGGGUAACGGAGGGUUAGGGCUCGACCCCGGAGAAGGAGCCUGAGAAACGGCUACUACAUCCAAGGAAGGCAGCAGGCGCGCAAAUUACCCAAUCCCGACACGGGGAGGUAGUGACAAUAAAUACUGAUACAGGGCUCUUUUGGGUCUUGCAAUUGGAAUGAGUACAAUUUAAAUCCCUUAACGAGGAACAAUUGGAGGGCAAGUCUGGUGCCAGCAGCCGCGGUAAUUCCAGCUCCAAUAGCGUAUAUUAAAGUUGUUGUGGUUAAAAAGCUCGUAGUUGAACCUUGGGCCUGGCUGGCCGGUCCGCCUCACCGCGUGCACUGGUCCGGCCGGGUCUUUCCCUCUGUGGAACCCCAUGCCCUUCACUGGGUGUGGCGGGGAAACAGGACUUUUACUUUGAAAAAAUUAGAGUGCUCCAGGCAGGCCUAUGCUCGAAUACAUUAGCAUGGAAUAAUAAAAUAGGACGUGCGGUUCUAUUUUGUUGGUUUCUAGGACCGCUGUAAUGAUUAAUAGGGACAGUCGGGGGCAUCAGUAUUCAAUUGUCAGAGGUGAAAUUCUUGGAUUUAUUGAAGACUAACUAGUGCGAAAGCAUUUGCCAAGGAUGUUUUCAUUAAUCAGGAACGAAAGUUAGGGGAUCGAAAGACGAUCAGAUACCGUCGUAGUCUUAACCGUAAACGAUGCCGACUAGGGAUCGAACGGUGUUAUUAUUUGACCCGUUCGGCACCUUAAA